GGAAUAUUGGACAAUGGACGAAUGUCUGAUCCAGCCAUGCCGCGUGUAGGAAGAAUGCCCUCUGGGUUGUAAACUACUUUUAUAUGGGAAUAAACCCCCCGACGUGUCGGGGGCUGAAUGUACCAUACGAAUAAGCACCGGCUAACCCCGUGCCAGCAGCCGCGGUAAUACGGAGGGUGCAAGCGUUAUCCGGAUUUAUUGGGUUUAAAGGGUCCGUAGGUGGAAUUGUAAGUCAGUGGUGAAAUCUUCCGGCUUAACCGGAAAACUGCCAUUGAUACUGCAGUUCUUGAGUAUGCUCGAGGUAGGCGGAAUAUGUCAUGUAGCGGUGAAAUGCAUAGAUAUGACAUAGAACACCAAUAGCGAAGGCAGCUUACCAGAUCAUAACUGACACUGAGGGACGAAAGCGUGGGGAGCG
RNAcentral lists this ribosomal RNA (415 nucleotides) under uncultured bacterium. Its description in RNAcentral is "bacterial SSU rRNA". It matches the Rfam family "Bacterial small subunit ribosomal RNA", at positions 358 to 770 of the family's 1533-position model. The record is from RNAcentral.